Molecule: ribosomal RNA, 3115 nt
Filed under: Triticum aestivum (bread wheat)
Lineage: Eukaryota; Viridiplantae; Streptophyta; Magnoliopsida; Poales; Poaceae
Description: partial small subunit ribosomal RNA
Source: RNAcentral
AUGCCGGGCUGCGCGACCAGCUGCGGCAACGUGAGCGUGCCGUGCCCGUUUGGGGUGGGCCCGGAAAGGUGCUACUGGCCGGGGUUCAACCUCACCUGCGACCGCCGGAGCAGCCCGCCGCGGCUCCUCCUCGGCGACGGCAGCCUCCAGGUCGUGGAGGACAUCCUCCUCGGGUCCGCUAUCACCGUCGUGCGCCAAGGCGACAUAAGGCUCGACGAGAACGGCGCCUGCGCGUUCGGCGGCGGCCUCAGGGACGACGGGCCCUACUCGCUGGCCUUCAACAACGAUCUCAUCCUGACGGGCUGCAACGCGCAGGCGACGCUAAAGAACGGCCACGUCACCGUCGCCGGCUGCUCCUCGUUCUGUGAGACCGAGGAUGUCGACGGAUCUGACUUCAACGGGUUCCCGCUGUCUAGGCACCCCACCAGCAUGGUGUGCUCUGGCAUAGCCUGCUGCCAGUCGGCCGUCCUCACCAACUACCAGGACCGGAGAGCGGGAAAGGUCCCGCACAGCGGCUCCUACGGCGUGGAGCUCCGGUGGCUUGGGUGGAACGGCACGGCCGACCGACGGUGGCCGCCCCGCGUGUACGUCGCCAUGAAUGGGUGGUUCGAGCAGACGCGUUUCUCCUACGAUCUGCUAUGGAAGGGAACGCGUCCGUCGGUGGCUGUUCCCGUGUUGCUUGACUGGGAGGUCGCCAGCCAUGGCGCGGAGCCUGACAGCAACACAAGCUCCUCGGAGUGCCCCGCCGAAGCUGCCCGAACCGUGUGCCGAAGCAACCACGCAUCCUGCAACAAAGGUGCACGGGGCUAUACAUGCUUCUGCGACGAGGGUUAUGAAGGCAAUCCCUACCUCCCACGCGGAUGCCAAGAUAUCAACGAGUGUGAAGAGCCAGGCAGUCGGUGCCUUGGUCCAUGUAUCAACAAGGAAGGAUCGUACGACUGUGGUUGUCCAUCAGGAACGCAUCGUGACAACGCAACUGGCGGAUGCAUCACUCCCGUCACAGGUAGCUGCAAUAGGUCAUGCGGAGACGUGCAGGUCCCAUACCCGUUCGGCUUUGGGGCUUCCUACUGCUACUGGCCAGGCUUCAACCUCACCUGCGACUACACAAGUAUCAACGGCGAGUCCCUACAGCUUCUACUCGAUGACUACGACGCCUUUCGAGUCGUCGAAAUCUCCCUUCAAAACACCACGGUGCGCGUCAUCGGCACCGGUGCCCUUACUAGUGUCACCACCAAACGUGAUGCGGACUUCAGUUUCGAUAAAGUCUUCACGGCAAAUAGAGAGACACCAUACUCCCUGUCCACCCGCAAUGAGCUCAUCCUGACAGGGUGCAAUGUGAAGGCGAAGCUGACUGCCGGAGACGAUGCCAAACCCGGCAUCAUUAGCGGGUGCUCCUCAUUUUGCUCCUUCAACAAUACAGGCGGCACCACUAAAGUUAGCACUGGAGGACAAAACAAGUACUGCUAUGGCAUGGGUUGCUGCCAGUCGCGUAUCUCCAUGUCGUCGCACGGCAUGCCCAAAAUGCUGUGGCUCGAGUGGCUUGACGAGAGCAACACAUUGGACUUAAAAACCAUGUCCUCCUAUGCGCUGAUAGCGGAGGAGGGAUGGUUCAAUCUCACAAUGCUCUCCAGUGACUCGGCAACGAAGGUGAUUCCUAUUGUUCUACAGUGGGAGAUCUUGGAUUCGGCAUUGCCCAAAGCAGAAAACUUGAAGAGAUCAAAUUAUACGAGUUGUCCUAUCCUAUGGAAGUGGCAGGCAACAUUUGCAAGAGCAAGAACAGUUACUGCAAUCUAGGGAUAAGAGGCUACUCAUGCCAGUGUAGCGAUGGCUACAGCGGUAACCCGUACAUGGUCGAUGGAUGCACAGGUGGCCACAAGUCCUUUAAAGGUACAAGUGUCAUUGUAGGAGUUGCCAGUGGGACGGCUCUCAUACUUAUGGUUUUCGCUGGAUUAUUCAUUUUCUCCCAAUUGAAAUGUCGAAGGGCGCAGAUGUUGAAACGCAAGUUCUUUGAGCAGAAUCGUGGGCAACUACUGCAACAAUUGGUGUCUCAGAGAACUGAUAUUGCAGAAAAAAUGAUCAUAACCUUGGAAGAGUUAGAGAAGGCAACAAAUAAUUUUGAUAAAUCUCGUGAGCUUGGUGGUGGAGGGCAUGGUACUGUCUAUAAGGGGAUUUUAUCAGACCUCCAUGUUGUCGCCAUCAAGAAACCAAAGAAGGUAGUUCAAAAGGAGAUUGAUGAGUUCAUUAAUGAGGUUGCUAUACUGUCACAGAUCAAUCACCGAAAUGUCGUAAAACUCUAUGGUUGUUGUCUUGAAACUGAAGUGCCAAUGUUGAUAUAUGAGUUCAUAUCCAACAGAACCCUUUAUGACCAUCUUCAUGUUGAAGGACCAAGAUCAUUGUCAUGGGACAAUAGGCUGCGGAUAGCAGUUGAAACAGCCAGAUCUCUUGCAUAUCUUCACUCAACAGCUUCGGUACCUAUCAUCCAUAGGCUGCGGAUAGCAGUUGAGACAUCAAAUCUGUUAAUAUACUAUUGGAUGAUACUCUAACAUCAAAGGUAGCAGAUUUUGGAGCUUCAAGGUAUAUUUCUGUAGAGAAAUCGGGUUUAACAACAAUGGUGCAAGGUACAGUUGGAUAUUUAGAUCCUAUGUACUUCUACACCGGACGGCUUACCGAGAAAAGUGAUGUUUAUAGCUUUGGAGUCAUGCUAAUAGAGUUGUUGACAAGAAAGAAGCCAUUUUCAUAUGUGUCUUUAGAAGGAGACGGCCUUGUUGUACACUUUGUUUCCUUGUUUGCAAAAGGCAAUCUGUUGGAGAUACUAGAUCCACAAGUUAUGGAAGAAGGAGGAAAGGAUGUUAAUGAGGUAGCUAUACUUGCCGUGGCAUGCGUAAAACUAAGGGGAGAGGAUCGUCCAACCAUGCGUCAAGUGGAGUUGACACUGGAAAACUUCCAUUCACCCAAGCAAUAUGUCAUGGAUGGCGCGGUGGUUGAUAUAUCCGAGAAGAAAAGAACUAUAAAAAUGUCCUUACCAACUAAUGACGGAAGAAGCAGCAACGAAGGGUCGACGAGGCAGUAUAGCAUGGAAGAAGAGUUCCUAGAGUCUGCGAGGUGUCCUCGGUAG